GGACAAUCAAAGCUUCAACCAGAGAAGAUAAGGCAUAGACUUACUACACAGGAUUCAAGGAAAAAUUUACAGCAGAAAUAAAAGAAUUCAUGGAAAGCCUCAAGAAAUUACAGAGAAUAUCUGAAUGAUGUCGUUCUAACUAGUAUUUCCAAAUGGAGGCACAAGCCCACACAGACAGGAAGAAUGGAAAUCAGAGACAAAAGCAACAAAACUUUAGGAGCUGACAAGGCAGAGAGAAGACUGGUAAAUGACUCAACAGACCCAAGACAGAUGAAUGCUAAGCCAGAAGUGUAGAAAGCCAAGAACCAACAUGCUUAUAAUACAAAAUUCCUUUAAGGCCCAGAAACUGGCAGGACCAAGUACCUCUGGCAUCAGAGUCAAGGUAGAAUUAAAAUUACUUUCUCAAUACAAGUUCAUUUAAGAAGCUUGGAUAGGUCUUCCCAUCCCCUUGAAGUCCUCCCCUACUUAGCACAGCCACAUGACUGACACUUCCCCACAUGAGCAAAAUAUAAGAAGUUUGCACUCUAGAGGGUAAACAAGGGGUCUUUGGAUUGGGUCUAUGCUAUAGACUGAAUUGUGUCCCCUCACCAAAUACAUAUGUUGAAG
This is a long non-coding RNA of Gorilla gorilla gorilla (western lowland gorilla), 606 nucleotides long. RefSeq lists it as uncharacterized. NCBI's taxonomy places the organism in Eukaryota, Metazoa, Chordata, Mammalia, Primates, Hominidae. The transcript is spliced from 3 exons. The record is from RefSeq and is a predicted model, not a curated record.